Molecule: ribosomal RNA, 1451 nt
Filed under: uncultured organism
Description: SSU rRNA
Rfam family: Bacterial small subunit ribosomal RNA
Source: RNAcentral
GAACGCUAGCUACAGGCUUAACACAUGCAAGUCGAGGGGCAUCAGGAAGAAAGCUUGCUUUCUUUGCUGGCGACCGGCGCACGGGUGAGUAACACGUAUCCAACCUGCCCUUUACUCGGGGAUAGCCUUUCGAAAGAAAGAUUAAUACCCGAUGGCAUAAUGAUUCCGCAUGGUUUCAUUAUUAAAGGAUUCCGGUAAAGGAUGGGGAUGCGUUCCAUUAGGUUGUUGGUGAGGUAACGGCUCACCAAGCCUUCGAUGGAUAGGGGUUCUGAGAGGAAGGUCCCCCACAUUGGAACUGAGACACGGUCCAAACUCCUACGGGAGGCAGCAGUGAGGAAUAUUGGUCAAUGGGCGCUAGCCUGAACCAGCCAAGUAGCGUGAAGGAUGAAGGCUCUAUGGGUCGUAAACUUCUUUUAUAUAAGAAUAAAGUGCAGUAUGUAUACUGUUUUGUAUGUAUUAUAUGAAUAAGGAUCGGCUAACUCCGUGCCAGCAGCCGCGGUAAUACGGAGGAUCCGAGCGUUAUCCGGAUUUAUUGGGUUUAAAGGGAGCGUAGGUGGACUGGUAAGUCAGUUGUGAAAGUUUGCGGCUCAACCGUAAAAUUGCAGUUGAUACUGUCAGUCUUGAGUACAGUAGAGGUGGGCGGAAUUCGUGGUGUAGCGGUGAAAUGCUUAGAUAUCACGAAGAACUCCGAUUGCGAAGGCAGCUCACUGGACUGCAACUGACACUGAUGCUCGAAAGUGUGGGUAUCAAACAGGAUUAGAUACCCUGGUAGUCCACACAGUAAACGAUGAAUACUCGCUGUUUGCGAUAUACAGUAAGCGGCCAAGCGAAAGCAUUAAGUAUUCCACCUGGGGAGUACGCCGGCAACGGUGAAACUCAAAGGAAUUGACGGGGGCCCGCACAAGCGGAGGAACAUGUGGUUUAAUUCGAUGAUACGCGAGGAACCUUACCCGGGCUUAAAUUGCAGUGGAAUGAUGUGGAAACAUGUCAGUGAGCAAUCACCGCUGUGAAGGUGCUGCAUGGUUGUCGUCAGCUCGUGCCGUGAGGUGUCGGCUUAAGUGCCAUAACGAGCGCAACCCUUAUCUUUAGUUACUAACAGGUUAUGCUGAGGACUCUAGAGAGACUGCCGUCGUAAGAUGUGAGGAAGGUGGGGAUGACGUCAAAUCAGCACGGCCCUUACGUCCGGGGCUACACACGUGUUACAAUGGGGGGUACAGAAGGCAGCUAGCGGGUGACCGUAUGCUAAUCCCAAAAGCCUCUCUCAGUUCGGAUCGAAGUCUGCAACCCGACUUCGUGAAGCUGGAUUCGCUAGUAAUCGCGCAUCAGCCACGGCGCGGUGAAUACGUUCCCGGGCCUUGUACACACCGCCCGUCAAGCCAUGGGAGCCGGGGGUACCUGAAGUACGUAACCGCAAGGAUCGUCCUAGGGUAAAACUGGUGACUGGGGCUAAG